Molecule: ribosomal RNA, 406 nt
Filed under: uncultured bacterium
Lineage: Bacteria
Description: partial 16S ribosomal RNA
Rfam family: Bacterial small subunit ribosomal RNA
Source: RNAcentral
AUUGAACGCUGGCGGCAGGCCUAACACAUGCAAGUCGAGCGAGCGGCGGACGGGUGAGUAAUGUGUGGGAAACUGCCCGAUGGAGGGGGAUAACUACUGGAAACGGUAGCUAAUACCGCAUACCACUAGAGGUGCCCAGAUGGGAUCAGCGAGUAGGUGGGGUAAUGGCUCACCUGGGCGACGAUCCCUAGCUGGUCUGAGAGGAUGACCAGCCACACGGGAACUGAGACACGGUCCAAACUCCUACGGGGGGCAGCAGUGGGGAAUAUUGGACAAUGGGCGCAAGCCUGAUGCAGCACGGCCGGGUGUGUGAAGAAGGCCUUCGGGUUGUAAAGUACGUUCAGCGGGGAGGCGUUACCCGCAGAAGAAGCACCGGCUAACUCCGUGCCAGCAGCCGCGGUAAUAC